GACGAACGCUGGCGGCGUGCUUAACACAUGCAAGUCGAACGGAAAGGCCCUGCUUUUGUGGGGUGCUCGAGUGGCGAACGGGUGAGUAACACGUGAGUAACCUGCCCUUGACUUUGGGAUAACUUCAGGAAACUGGGGCUAAUACCGGAUAGGAGCUCCUGCUGCAUGGUGGGGGUUGGAAAGUUUCGGCGGUUGGGGAUGGACUCGCGGCUUAUCAGCUUGUUGGUGGGGUGGUGGCUUACCAAGGCUUUGACGGGUAGCCGGCCUGAGAGGGUGACCGGCCACAUUGGGACUGAGAUACGGCCCAGACGCCUACGGGAGGAGCAGUGGGGAAUAUUGCACAAUGGGCGGAAGCCUGAUGCAGCAACGCCGCGUGCGGGAUGACGGCCUUCGGGUUGUAAACCGCUUUCGCCUGUGACGAAGCGUGAGUGACGGUAAUGGGUAAAGAAGCACCGGCUAACUACGUG
RNAcentral lists this ribosomal RNA (467 nucleotides) under uncultured bacterium. RNAcentral describes it as "partial 16S ribosomal RNA". It matches the Rfam family "Bacterial small subunit ribosomal RNA", at positions 28 to 507 of the family's 1533-position model. The record is from RNAcentral.